This 474-nucleotide ribosomal RNA is filed under the name uncultured bacterium. RNAcentral describes it as "bacterial SSU rRNA". It matches the Rfam family "Bacterial small subunit ribosomal RNA", at positions 8 to 493 of the family's 1533-position model. The record is from RNAcentral.
AGAGUUUGAUCAUGGCUCAGGACGAACGCUGGCGGCGUGCCUAAGACAUGCAAGUCGAGCGGUUCCAAGGAGCUUGCUCCUUGGGAUAGCGGCGGACGGGUGAGUAACGCGUAGGUAAUCUGCCUCCGGGACCGGGAUAACAGAGCGAAAGCGCUGCUAAUACCGGAUAGGCGCCACGGUGCCGCAUGGCACCAGGCGGAAAGGGGAAACCCGCCGGGAGAUGAACCUGCGUCCCAUUAGCCAGUUGGCGGGGUAACGGCCCACCAAAGCGACGAUGGGUAGCCGGCCUGAGAGGGUGUACGGCCACACUGGGACUGAGACACGGCCCAGACUCCUACGGGAGGCAGCAGUGGGGAAUAUUGCACAAUGGGCGCAAGCCUGAUGCAGCGACGCCGCGUGAGGGAUGAAGGUCUUCGGAUCGUAAACUUCUAUCAGCAGGGAAGAAUACCAUGACGGUACCUGACUAAGAAGCCC